RNAcentral lists this ribosomal RNA (496 nucleotides) under uncultured bacterium. RNAcentral describes it as "partial 16S ribosomal RNA". It matches the Rfam family "Bacterial small subunit ribosomal RNA", at positions 29 to 507 of the family's 1533-position model. The record is from RNAcentral.
AUGAACGCCGGCGGCGUGCCUAAUACAUGCAAGUCGAGCGAACAGACGAGGAGCUUGCUCCUCUGACGUUAGCGGCGGACGGGUGAGUAACACGUGGAUAACCUACCUAUAAGACUGGGAUAACUUCGGGAAACCGGAGCUAAUACCGGAUAAUAUAUUGAACCGCAUGGUUCAAUAGUGAAAGACGGUUUUGCUGUCACUUAUAGAUGGAUCCGCGCCGCAUUAGCUAGUUGGUAAGGUAACGGCUUACCAAGGCAACGAUGCGUAGCCGACCUGAGAGGGUGAUCGGCCACACUGGAACUGAGACACGGUCCAGACUCCUACGGGAGGCAGCAGUAGGGAAUCUUCCGCAAUGGGCGAAAGCCUGACGGAGCAACGCCGCGUGAAUGAUGAAGGUCUUCGGAUCGUAAAACUCUGUUAUUAGGGAAGAACAAAUGUGUAAGUAACUAUGCACGUCUUGACGGUACCUAAUCAGAAAGCCACGGCUAACUACGUG